AACACAAUAUAAACACAAUAAAGUAAGUGCAAUGUAUAUGAUGAUGAUGAUGCACGAGGUCAUCGCACAACCUCCGAGAUCGUCGCACAAUCCCCGUAUACAUCUACGGGGCUAAAGUUUCAUGAUGUAGGACUCAUGGGGGUUCGUCAACCUGUAUACAAUUCACAUAUCUCAUAUCUCCUUUCUAGUACAUUCCUUGAAAAAGGUUUUAUAAGUUAUUACAAUUUCUCCUCCCCGG
RNAcentral lists this long non-coding RNA (238 nucleotides) under Capsicum annuum. RNAcentral's name for it is "long non-coding RNA (CANN_LNC000361)". Lineage: Eukaryota; Viridiplantae; Streptophyta; Magnoliopsida; Solanales; Solanaceae. The record is from RNAcentral.